This 465-nucleotide ribosomal RNA is filed under the name uncultured bacterium. Its description in RNAcentral is "partial 16S ribosomal RNA". It matches the Rfam family "Bacterial small subunit ribosomal RNA", at positions 28 to 507 of the family's 1533-position model. The record is from RNAcentral.
GACGAACGCUGGCGGCGUGCUUAACACAUGCAAGUCGAACGGAAAGGCCCUGCUUGCAGGGUACUCGAGUGGCGAACGGGUGAGUAACACGUGGGUGAUCUGCCCUGCACUUCGGGAUAAGCCUGGGAAACUGGGUCUAAUACCGGAUAGGAGCCACUUCUAGUGUGAUGGUUGGAAAGUUUUUUCGGUGUAGGAUGAGCUCGCGGCCUAUCAGCUUGUUGGUGGGGUAAUGGCCUACCAAGGCGGCGACGGGUAGCCGGCCUGAGAGGGUGGACGGCCACAUAGGGACUGAGGGACGGCCCAGACGCCGACGGGAGGCAGCAGUGGGGAAUAUUGCACAAUGGGCGCAAGCCUGAUGCAGAGAGGCCGCGUGGGGGAGGGCGGCCUUCGGGUUGUAAACUCCUUUCGCUAGAGACGAAGCUUUUUGUGACGGUACCUAGAUAAGAAGCACCGGCUAACUACGUG